RNAcentral lists this ribosomal RNA (438 nucleotides) under uncultured bacterium. RNAcentral describes it as "partial 16S ribosomal RNA". It matches the Rfam family "Bacterial small subunit ribosomal RNA", at positions 28 to 507 of the family's 1533-position model. The record is from RNAcentral.
GACGAACGCUGGCGGCAUGCCUAACACAUGCAAGUCGAACGAGAAGUUCGGGUCUAGUGGCGCACGGGUGCGUAACGAGUGGGAACCUGCACUUAGGUUCGGAAUCACUCACCGAGAGGGGUGCUAAUACCAGAUAAUGUCUUCGGGCCAAGGAUUUGUCGCUUGGGGAUGGGCUCGCGUCGGAUUAGCUUGUUGGUGGGGUAGAGGCCUACCAAGACGAUGAUGGGUAGCUGGUCUGUGAGGAUGACCGGCCACGGUGGGACUGCAAUACGGCCCAGCCUCGUCCGGGAGGCAGCGGUGGGGAGUGUUGCACUGUGGGCGGAAGCAUGAUGCAGUAAAGCCGCGUGGGGGAUGACAGCAAUCGGGUUGUAUUGCGAUUUCGCCUGUGACGAAGCGUGAGUGACGGUAAUGGGUAAAGAAGCACCGGCUAACUCCGUG